AGCCCGAAACGGCAAAAUCGUCGAAAGGCGAUGACGCAAAGCCACGGGUCUAAAGCCGAAAGGCCAUGACCGCCGAGCUGCCGAA
RNAcentral lists this non-coding RNA (85 nucleotides) under Synergistales bacterium. Its description in RNAcentral is "c-di-GMP sequence". It matches the Rfam family "c-di-GMP-I riboswitch aptamer". Rfam says of the family: GEMM was predicted in a large-scale screen for bacterial structured RNA regulatory elements. Lineage: Bacteria; Thermotogati; Synergistota; Synergistia; Synergistales. The record is from RNAcentral.